AGAAAGGCGGCGCGGCGCCCGACGCCGUCGGCUCUGAUCCGAAGAACGUCCAGGUCGUCAUCGAUCGCGGCGAUGCCUUUUAC
Molecule: transfer RNA, 83 nt
Filed under: Mesorhizobium sp. 131-2-1
Lineage: Bacteria; Pseudomonadati; Pseudomonadota; Alphaproteobacteria; Hyphomicrobiales; Phyllobacteriaceae
Description: tRNA-Gln
Source: RNAcentral